Molecule: ribosomal RNA, 305 nt
Filed under: uncultured bacterium
Lineage: Bacteria
Description: bacterial SSU rRNA
Rfam family: Bacterial small subunit ribosomal RNA
Source: RNAcentral
CGGGCCUACGGGACGCAGCAGUGGGGAAUAUUGCACAAUGGGCGAAAGCCUGAUGCAGCGACGCCGCGUGAAGGAUGAAGUAUUUCGGUAUGUAAAGCUCUAUCAGCAGGGAAGAAGAAAGACGGUACCUGACUAAGAAGCCCCGGCUAACUACGUGCCAGCAGCCGCGGUAAUACGUAGGAGGCAAGCGUUAUCCGGAUUUACUGGGUGUAAAGGGAGCGUAGACGGCAUAGCAAGUCUGAAGUGAAAGCCCGUGGCUCAACCGCGGAACUGCUUUGGAAACUGUUAAGCUGGAGUACUGGAGG